This 1365-nucleotide long non-coding RNA is filed under the name Gossypium barbadense (sea-island cotton). RNAcentral's name for it is "long non-coding RNA (GBAR_LNC019253)". Lineage: Eukaryota; Viridiplantae; Streptophyta; Magnoliopsida; Malvales; Malvaceae. The record is from RNAcentral.
UAAAAUUUAAAAGACUUAAGAAAUCUAAUUAAAAACACUGCAAAAAUGAGGGGGACCAAACGCGCAAUUAGACUAUUUAAGGUCUGAACGCGCGGACCCCUUUCUCCCCAAGCGGUGCUGUUUUGUUUCUGCUCUAAGGGUUUUUUUUAAAAAAAAAACUAGAAGAAAGAGUCAGAUUCUUUCUUCUUUCUGAAAAAAAAUUUUAGGGUUCCUUCAACCCUUUGUGCGCCGCCGUUCCCCUUUUGCGCCAAGGCUCCGAUUGCGACGGAGAUGGCCACAACUCGACGAGAUCGGCGUAAAGGUAAGUUUUCUCGCUUGCUUUCCUUUAUAUUUUAAGUUUUAAAAAAAUGAUAAAAAAAAAACUAAAUGAAUAAGCAAAUAACACAAACACUUACAAAGUAAACUAAAGAAAUAAAAAAAAACCUCUGUAAAUAACUUUGUAUUUCUUGUAAAUCUUUCUUUCUUUUCUAGUCUUUCUUUUUCUCUCUUUUUCCCUCUAUCCCCCCCUUUUACAGAUUACAAAAUGGCCUUUUAUAGGCCGAAAAAGAGAAAGAAAAUAAAUCAAAAAAGAAGGAAAAAAAAAUAUUGCUUGCUGUUUGUUUUUCUUUGGACUCCUUGAGUCCGUUUUUUCAGGCGUUCAUGGAGUGUAAACGCGCAUGGGGAGGCUGACCUCCGAGUUGUGCGGCGACUGGGCGUUGGGCACGACACUGAAGGCUUGCUGCGGUGCUCCUUGCUGCCAUUUGCUGAAGGUUCUAGGGUUUAGCUUUUCUUUUUUCUUUUGGGCCGUGUUUGCUUUAGAUGGGCUUGUAAAUCUUGGACUGAUUUUAAUUUUGUUUGGACCUGGGUCGAUUGGGCCCUAUUACAAAUAUCUUGGUGUCGAAAAUUUGAAAAGAUUUUAAAAGAAAAAUUUUUAUCUCUUGAAUGAAUCAAAAUAAUAAAACAUUCUUAUUUUAAAGAAAUAAAAUACCACACCCAGUGAGUUAGGGCACAAUAUUUUUAAAUCUUCAAAAUACCGAAUAUUGCCUUUUGUUUUAGAAAUUCUUAUUUCGAGAUAAUAAAAUGUCAUGACCAAUAAGUUAGGACCCGACAUUUUUGAAUUCCCGAGAAUAAGCUUUUAUUUGAAAAUUUUAUGAAUUUAUUGCAAAAAAAAAUACUUGGUUUUCUAAAUUCAUCGAAAAAUAAUCGCAAUCCAGUAAGUUAGAACAUGAUCUUUCUCGAGAAUCAUGAUUGCCAAAUAUUUAAAAAUUUAAAAAUAAAAAAAACGAUUUUAAUGCUUUGACGAAACCAAAAUAUAUUUUUUAAAAACAUGAAAAAAUGUCAAUGCGUAUAUAUGUAUAUAUACAAAAAUUAGGAAAAUGAAUCAAU